Molecule: long non-coding RNA, 1068 nt
Filed under: Vulpes vulpes (red fox)
Lineage: Eukaryota; Metazoa; Chordata; Mammalia; Carnivora; Canidae
Description: lncRNA (ENSVVUG00000005730.1)
Source: RNAcentral
CCAAUUUCUUGCUCUUUUUCCUUUUUCUUUUUUGUCUUCUUUCUUUCUCCCAUCCAUCCAUCCAUCCAUCCAUCCAUCCAUCCAUCCAUCCAUCCACCCAUCCAUCCACCCACCCACCCAUCCACUUUUUCUGCCUUAGCAUCUGUCCUGAGGUCUCUCCUGCGAGCCCAGGAUCCGGCCCGGUCCCCAGGACACGGCCACAAGGGGGAGCUGCUCUCCCGCGCUCGCUCUGAUCCACGCGGCUUUGGGGAGGGGGGCUCUGGCAGAGGGUGUGGAGGGCGGGGGUGCCCUGGGGGGGGGACGUUUCGGCAGAGACUCGGGCCGCCCGCCGGGCGCCGCGCGGUAGGGUCUGUCCCCCGGCUCCGGGGCGGGGCGCCCCUCGGCUGCGGCGCGGGCGGAGCUUUCCAGAGGGGGAGGGGGGCUUGGCCCUACCAGGCGUGGAACGGUCCCAAAGGGUCCUCACCGCCUCCCGGGUGCCUGGAGGGAAGGUGUCUCGAGGGGCGGAGCCCGGGGAGGAUCACACGUGGCCUGGCCCCCCAGGGGCGCGCGGCGGGGCCCCGCUGUGAGGGUGGGCAGGGCUUUCCCGGCAGACCUGGAGAGGAGGCGCCGACCCAGCGUGGGCCGGAGGAUCCCCGCAAAAUGACCUUGGUGACGGUGGGGAUGCAGCCCGCGGCGUCAGGUGGCAGGCGGCUCCCGGAGAGGGCGGGGGCGUUGCCCGGCGUCUCGGCAUCUCAAGGUCUAUUCCGAGAGCCCGAGCUCCGGGGGAGUGGGGAGUGGGAGGCGAACCCCACAUCUGUGGUCUCGUGGAGAGGGAAGCACCGGGAAGGGCCAGGCGCGUCGGCUGUGGGAGGCCGGGGAAACGGCCAAGAGGAGCCCGCGGGACGUGCCCGGAGAUCAUGGGCCUGCGGGGCCCUGGGGACCAGAACAUCCGAAUCUCUGGGGACCGCUGGGAGGGGGGGCAGUGGAGGAAGACUGCCCCGGCGCAGGAGCCUGCCACAGGGAAGAGGGUUUUUUGCCUCUGUCCCUGAUUUUCUGGGUGCUGCGCGGCCUGUUUCCCCAUCAGUCUGA